This is a non-coding RNA of Drosophila melanogaster (fruit fly), 335 nucleotides long. The record is from Ensembl. NCBI's taxonomy places the organism in Eukaryota, Metazoa, Arthropoda, Insecta, Diptera, Drosophilidae.
UGCCCGAAAAGAAGGAAAUAAGACAGAGGAAAAUGGAAAAUGCAGCUAGGGACACAUAAGCAUGUGGCACACGUACAAUGCAUAAAUAUUUUAAUUCUACCAAAAUUUGCUGAUAGUUUUAUGGACUUGCCAACGAGACAUGUCCCGAGCACUGAGGAUCUGACCAAAAAAUGCAUUUCCAUUUUUAUUUAUUUGCCUCAGCUGUUGACUGGCAAAUAAUUUAUGUGCCUGCCUUGCAUUUCAAUUUAUUUCACAAUUUCCUUCUAGAAUGGCAAAAACUGUGGACUUGGAAUAUGGAUUCAAAGCUUAGUUUUGCGCAGAUGAGAAGUUAAGUU